ACGCACGCUGGCGGCGUGCUUAACACAUGCCAGUCGAACGGAAAGGCCCUGCUUUUGUGGGGUGCUCGAGUGGCGAACGGGUGAGUAACACGUGAGUAACCUGCCCUUGACUUUGGGAUAACUUCAGGAAACUGGGGCUAAUACCGGAUAGGAGCUCCUGCUGCAUGGUGGGGGUUGGAAAGUUUCGGCGGUUGGGGAUGGACUCGCGGCUUAUCAGCUUGUUGGUGGGGUAGUGGCUUACCAAGGCUUUGACGGGUAGCCGGCCUGAGAGGGUGACCGGCCACAUUGGGACUGAGAUACGGCCCAGACUCCUACGGGAGGCAGCAGUGGGGAAUAUUGCACAAUGGGCGGAAGCCUGAUGCAGCAACGCCGCGUGCGGGAUGACGGCCUUCGGGUUGUAAACCGCUUUCGCCUGUGACGAAGCGUGAGUGACGGUAAUGGGUAAAGAAGCACCGGCUAACUACGUA
RNAcentral lists this ribosomal RNA (467 nucleotides) under uncultured bacterium. RNAcentral describes it as "partial 16S ribosomal RNA". It matches the Rfam family "Bacterial small subunit ribosomal RNA", at positions 29 to 507 of the family's 1533-position model. The record is from RNAcentral.